UACGAAGGGGGCUAGCGUUGUUCGGAAUUACUGGGCGUAAAGCGCACGUAGGCGGACUUUUAAGUCAGGGGUGAAAUCCCGGGGCUCAACCUCGGAACUGCCUUUGAUACUGGAAGUCUUGAGUAUGGAAGAGGUAAGUGGAAUUGCGAGUGUAGAGGUGAAAUUCGUAGAUAUUCGCAGGAACACCAGUGGCGAAGGCGGCUUACUGGUCCAUUACUGACGCUGAGGAGCGAAAGCAUGGGGAGCGAACAGG
Molecule: ribosomal RNA, 253 nt
Filed under: uncultured bacterium
Lineage: Bacteria
Description: partial 16S ribosomal RNA
Rfam family: Bacterial small subunit ribosomal RNA
Source: RNAcentral